UCUCACUUUUCACCCCCACUUGGUUCUUCCGUAAUCUCCCAGCUGCAGUGAGGAGGGAGCAAAAGCGAAACGAAAGCACGAAACGAAAGCACCUGGUUGUAUCAGUUGCAGCAGCUUCCCAGAUCACGGCCAUGGAAGGCGAAGGUCUGGGGUUGGAGAGGCCAGGAGACACCUCUUCUACCAUGUGAAGAUAUAGUGAGAAGAUUUCUGUCUGUGAACAAGGCAGCUGGCCCUCAGAAGACAUUGAAUUUGCUGGCACCAGGAUAUUGGACUUCCCAGACUGCAAAACUGUACUUACCACUGGCUGAACACAAGUGGGAGGCAGAGGGGCAGAGAACUCUUGAUGCAGUCCAAAAAGGUCAGCCUCCAAGGCAAACAGCAGAUGGAGGAGAGGAUCCUCAAAUGUGUUUAUGAAAGGAAGGAAAAAGAAAUGAGUGGUUAACUCCUACAACUACAAGAACUGGAGGAACAACAACAAACAAAGCCUACAGAGAGUAGAAGGAAAGACAUAACCAAAAUCAGAGCAACAUUAAACAACGUGGAGACUAAAACAACAAUCCAAAGGAUCAAUAAAUCCAGGAGCUGGUUCUUUGAAAAGAUAAACAAAAUUGACAAGCAUUUAAGCAGAUUUGUCAAGGACAAAAGAGAGGAUCAAAAUAAAUAAAUUCAGAAAUGAAAGAGGAAAGAUUACAACUGAUAAC
Phyllostomus hastatus (greater spear-nosed bat) is the source of this 701-nucleotide long non-coding RNA. RefSeq lists it as uncharacterized. The record is from RefSeq and is a predicted model, not a curated record. The transcript has 4 exons. Lineage: Eukaryota; Metazoa; Chordata; Mammalia; Chiroptera; Phyllostomidae.